UCCGGUUUGUCACCGGCAGUCCCAUUAGAGUGCCCAACUGAAUGUGGCAACUAAUGGCAAGGGUUGCGCUCGUUGCUGGACUUAACCCAACAUCUCACGACACGAGCUGACGACAGCCAUGCACCACCUGUACGCGACCCUUACGGACCCCCCAUCUCUGGAGGAUUUCCGCGUAUGUCAAGCCUUGGUAAGGUUCUUCGCGUUGCGUCGAAUUAAGCCGCAUGCUCCGCCGCUUGUGCAGGCCCCCGUCAAUUCCUUUGAGUUUUAGCCUUGCGGCCGUACUCCCCAGGCGGAGUGCUUAAUGCGUUAGCUGCGGCACAGAGAGGGUUGAAGACCUCCCCACACCUAGCACUCAACGUUUACGGCUGGGACUAC
Molecule: unclassified non-coding RNA, 375 nt
Filed under: uncultured bacterium
Lineage: Bacteria
Description: contains 16S-23S intergenic spacer region
Source: RNAcentral